UUUUGACCUCGGAUCACGUAGGGAUACCCGCUGAACUUAAUCAUAUCAAUAAGACGGAGGAAAACUUAAGCAUAUCAAUAA
RNAcentral lists this ribosomal RNA (81 nucleotides) under Alternaria sp. RNAcentral's name for it is "partial 28S ribosomal RNA". The record is from RNAcentral. Lineage: Eukaryota; Fungi; Ascomycota; Dothideomycetes; Pleosporales; Pleosporaceae.